RNAcentral lists this ribosomal RNA (370 nucleotides) under Melosira varians. RNAcentral's name for it is "partial small subunit ribosomal RNA". Lineage: Eukaryota; Bacillariophyta; Melosirophyceae; Melosirales; Melosiraceae. The record is from RNAcentral.
CUAACUUUCGUUCUUGAUUAAUGAAAACAUCCUUGGUAAAUGCUUUCGCAGUAGUUUGUCUUCCAUAAAUCCAAGAAUUUCACCUCUGACAAUUGAAUACAAAUACCCCCAACUAUCCCUAUUAAUCAUUACCUUGGAGUACAAACCAACAAAAUAAGACCAAGGUCUUAUCUUAUUAUUCCAUGCUAAUGUAUUCAACGGCAUAAGCCUGCUUUGAACACCCUAUUUUGCUCACAGUAAAUGACGAGGAUCCCAUACCCAUUAACUUAAUGACAGAUAUGUUUUCCUCGAGGAUGGUCUCAGACCCUGGUACAUACCUCGUUUGAGGCAGACCGAAAUCCAAGACCAGAAAUUCAACUACGAGCUUUUU